Molecule: ribosomal RNA, 410 nt
Filed under: uncultured bacterium
Lineage: Bacteria
Description: bacterial SSU rRNA
Rfam family: Bacterial small subunit ribosomal RNA
Source: RNAcentral
GUCUAGUGGCGCACGGGUGCGUAACGCGUGGGAAUCUGCCCAAAGGUUCGGAAUAACUCAGAGAAAUUUGAGCUAAUACCGGAUAAUGUCUUCGGACCAAAGAUUUAUUGCCUUUGGAUGAGCCCGCGUAAGAUUAGCUAGUUGGUAGGGUAAAGGCCUACCAAGGCGACGAUCUUUAGCUGGUCUGAGAGGAUGAUCAGCCACACUGGGACUGAGACACGGCCCAGACUCCUACGGGAGGCAGCAGUGGGGAAUAUUGGACAAUGGGCGAAAGCCUGAUCCAGCAAUGCCGCGUGAGUGAUGAAGGCCUUAGGGCUGUAAAGCUCUUUUACCCGGGAUGAUAAUGACACACCGGGAGAAUAAGCUCCGGCUAACUCCGUGCCCGCAGCCCCGGCCAUACUUAUGGAGCU